UGUGGAUGUGUGUGUGUGAGAGGUGUGUGCAUGUGACACUGCGUGUGGAUGUGUGAGACACUGGAUGUGUGUGAGGUGUUGUGUGUGUGACACUGUGUGUGGAUGUGUGUGUGAGACACUGUGGAUGUGUGUGUGUGUGAGGUGUGUGUGAGACACUGUGUGUGGAUGUGUGUGUGACACUGUGUGGGUGUGUGACACUGUGUGUGGAUGUGUGUGUGAGACACUGGAUGUGUGCAUGAGAGGUGUGUGUGUGAGACACUGUGUGGGUGUGUGAGUGAGACACUGUGUGGAUGUGUGUGUAACACUGUGUAUGGAUGUGUGUGUCUGAGAGGUAUGUGUGUGUGACACUGUGUGUGGAUGUGUGUGAGAGACACUGGAUGUGUGCGUGUGUGAGAGGUGUGUGUGUGACACUGUGUGUGGGUGUGAGACACUGUGUGGAUGUGGGUGAGACACUGUGUGGAUGUGAGUGAGACACUGUGUGGAUGUGUGUGUGUGGUGUGUGUGUGUGACACUGUGUGGUUGUGUGAGUGUGACACUGUGUGGAUGUGAGUGAGACACUGUGUGGAUGUGAGUGAGACACUGUGUGGAUGUGUGUGUGUGACACUGUGUGGAUGUGAGUGAGACACUGUGUGGAUGUGAGUGCACGCACGGGGUCACGUUCUCCCUGCUAUGCACCCCGUGCUAUCUCCUGGGAUGUGAUCUGCGGUCUCCUUGCAUGACUGGGCGGAGCUCUUGCUUCUUUAUUCUGAUCUGUUCACUUUUGCUUCCUCCACAGGGAGCGUCUCCAGUUCCAGAUCCUCCUGUGGCCUUGGUACACGCCGCUCCCCUGCCCGGAACGCCUGCUCAGCAUCCACCAGGGCUCCUAACCUGGGCAGUUCCUAAACCACAAUGGAGACAGCUCGGCGGUCCUCUGCAGAGUGCCCUCCCCAUCCCCACACAGGGCUGCUGAGGCCUUUCUCUCACCAUGCUGUGCAGGGGAUGAGCCCCUUCAUCCAGGAAGGCUUUGCUGAGAGCCCCUCCUGCAGGCCCCACACUCUGAGUCCUUGGCUGGGAUGGAGACAGCUGGUGGGGCUGAGAAACCUUCUCCACCAGGUGAAGGGUGAAGAGGAUCUCCAGACAGCAGCAGGAAUAUCCUGGCAAGAGGAGAAGGCACAGCAUAUUUGGCUCAGGGCACUGCAAGGCAGGUCACGACAAGAGGUGGACUGGCAAGGCCACCUGACAAAAGCCCAGUGAGGAGAGUCGCUGAUGUAAUCAGACUUGCAUUCUGGAAAGGCGGCUGUGGCUGCCAUGAAAACAGAGUAUGCUCGAGAAGCGUUCUUUCCAUGUGUCGGGGGAGCCCUGCCAGGAGGCAGAGGCACAGGGCAGAGAGCAGGGCAUAGUGGGAGCUGGGAGCAGCACUCCCCAAGGUGUGGGUCUGGGGUCCUGGCAGAGCUGGCCUUGUGCAUUAUUGGAGCUGCUGCCUGGCUGAGAGCAGGAGUGGCCUGAAGGGCCGGCCAGCCCAAGGAAGCCCUUUCCAGGAGUUAAAAGAAAAACUUCAGCCUAAUUAAAUGGAAAGGAGUUUCAUUAAGCAAUGAACGAUUCGUGAGUCAGGCAGCCCCCAGAAUCACAGCAGAUUCAGAGAGACGCCAGUGGUCAGACAGAUUUACAGACAGAAAAAGGAAAGUGAUGUACAGAAAUCGGAAGCGAGGCCCCGAAACAGCCGGAUUGGUGACACGUUGGCGGUUGCCUUAUUUGAACACAGUUUGAACACUCCGCAGUGUAUGAGUGGUUGAAGGACGUCUGCUGGGGUUGGCCAAGACUCAGCCAUGGUUACAGGCGCAUGCUCCUAAGUUAGGUUUCCCACCUUGUUCGCCUAUUAGGCUAGGUUGCGGCUCAUCCACAAGGCCUCAAAUAGAGAAGUAGGGAAUCCCUCUCAGGCCGUAUUUAGUUCACUUUAAUCCAGGGUUACUCUGCAAAGUUUCCAUGGGCUGUGGCCUCUGGGCUUCAGCCAUGACGCAGGUGCAUUGUCCCCUGCUUUGCUCAGAAAGCACAAGAAAACUGCCCAGCCCAGCCCUCCAGUGAGGCUGGGGGAGAUAUGCACGCUUUCCUAGCUGCUGUUUGUCCUGAGAGAGAGGCCUGGCUGGGUCAGCUGGCUCCAUUCCCUGCAGAGCACAGCCUGCACAUGGGGGAGGUGGUGUCUGUGCCAGGCUGUGUUUCCGCUGGAGAACGGCUCACGAGAAGGAGCAAGGCUCCACCUGGACGCGCAGGGCUCAGGGGCGCUGGUGGAGAGACACACAGGAUGCUGUCCGUAAACGUGCAACUGCGCCUCAUCAAUCCCACUGGUUUGCCACAA
Long non-coding RNA from Macaca mulatta (Rhesus monkey), 2332 nucleotides. NCBI's taxonomy places the organism in Eukaryota, Metazoa, Chordata, Mammalia, Primates, Cercopithecidae. The record is from Ensembl.